Molecule: ribosomal RNA, 409 nt
Filed under: uncultured bacterium
Lineage: Bacteria
Description: bacterial SSU rRNA
Rfam family: Bacterial small subunit ribosomal RNA
Source: RNAcentral
AACGAACGCUGGCGGCAUGCCUAACACAUGCAAGUCGAACGAGACCUUCGGGUCUAGUGGCGCACGGGUGCGUAACGCGUGGGAAUCUGCCCCUUGGUUCGGAAUAACAGCGAGAAAUUGCUGCUAAUACCGGAUAAUGACGUAAGUCCAAAGAUUUAUCGCCAAGGGAUGAGCCCGCGUAGGAUUAGCUAGUUGGUGUGGUAAAGGCGCACCAAGGCGACGAUCCUUAGCUGGUCUGAGAGGAUGAUCAGCCACACUGGGACUGAGACACGGCCCAGACUCCUACGGGAGGCAGCAGUGGGGAAUAUUGGACAAUGGGCGAAAGCCUGAUCCAGCAAUGCCGCGUGAGUGAUGAAGGCCUUAGGGUUGUAAAGCUCUUUACCCGGGUAAGAUAAUGACUGUACCGGGA